RNAcentral lists this ribosomal RNA (255 nucleotides) under uncultured bacterium. RNAcentral describes it as "partial 16S ribosomal RNA". It matches the Rfam family "Bacterial small subunit ribosomal RNA", at positions 524 to 776 of the family's 1533-position model. The record is from RNAcentral.
UACAGAGGGUGCGAGCGUUGUCCGGAAUCACUGGGCGUAAAGCGCACGUAGGCGGCUUUGCAAGUUAGAGGUGAAAGCCCGGGGCUCAACUCCGGAAUUGCCUUUAAAACUGCAUCGCUAGAAUUGUGGAGAGGUAAGUGGAAUUCCGAGUGUAGAGGUGAAAAUUCGUAGAUAUUCGGAAGAAACACCAGUGGCGAAGGCGACUUACUGGACACAUAUUGACGCUGAGGUGCGAAAGCGUGGGGAGCAAACAGG